AAGUCGUAACAAGGUCUCCGUUGGUGAACCAGCGGAGGGAUCAUUACCGAGUUUACAACUCCCAAACCCCUGUGAACACACCUAUACGUUGCCUCGGCGGAUCAGCCCGCGCCCCGUAAAACGGGACGGCCCGCCCGAGGACCCCUAAACUCUGUUUUUAGUGGAACUUCUGAGUAAAACAAACAAAUAAAUCAAAACUUUCAACAACGGAUCUCUUGGUUCUG
This 224-nucleotide unclassified non-coding RNA is filed under the name Fusarium equiseti. RNAcentral's name for it is "partial internal transcribed spacer region". The stretch from base 1 to 46 matches the Rfam family "Eukaryotic small subunit ribosomal RNA", at positions 1786 to 1831 of the family's 1831-position model. The record is from RNAcentral. Lineage: Eukaryota; Fungi; Ascomycota; Sordariomycetes; Hypocreales; Nectriaceae.